RNAcentral lists this unclassified non-coding RNA (692 nucleotides) under Hevea brasiliensis (rubber tree). Lineage: Eukaryota; Viridiplantae; Streptophyta; Magnoliopsida; Malpighiales; Euphorbiaceae. The record is from RNAcentral.
GGCACUUCCAACAUCCCUUCAGCCUUUGGAUUUACCUGGCAGUCAGAAUCGUCAAUCUCAUGAAAGAUCAUACCAAUCUGCAUGGGCAAGUUCAAGCAGGGGCAACCAUAAUGAGUUAGUUCUCUAUGAAAACAAAGGAAGCAGAGUAUUACCUCCGUCUUUGAUGCACAGAAAGGCCACUUCAGGUGUUCAGUAUACUAGUGUAAAUGAUCCCUUACAUUACCCUGGGACAGCUGAAGAGAGAGCUGCAGCAGCUGAUGAGAGACUGAUCUUUCAAGCUGCUCUGCAGGAUUUGAACCAACCAAAGGUAGAAGCUCGUCUGCCAGAAGGUCUUUUGUCAGUUUCUCUCCUAAGACACCAGAGAAUUGCUUUGGCAUGGAUGCUUCAAAAAGAAACUGGUAGUGUACAUUGUUCGGGUGGUAUUCUGGCUGAUGAUCAGGGUCUUGGUAAGACUAUUUCAAUGAUUGCCCUCAUACAGAUGCAGAGGUCAGCUCAGGAUAAGUCUAAAGCAAAAGAUCUGGAUGCUAUUAAAGCUGAAGCCUUGAAUUUGGAUGAUGAUGAUGAAAGUGGUGUUCCUGCUUCUCAGGAAACAAAUCAGUGUGGAGAAAUAGAUGGUGUUGAGGUGAUUACAGAUGCAAGAACUUCUAUAAAGGGGUUUAGACGUAGGAGGCCAGCAGCUGGUACAUUGGUAG